GUUCCCAAAAAAAAUCACCUUCGAAGAGCGAGGGAAAAGGGGCGUUCCCAGGGUUUUCCGGCAGGGAAGGUUUCACCUCUGCCACCUGCCGGCACCUGCGAGGAUCCUGCCUGGAAUUGUGCACUCAACAAACGCGGAGGAAUUCCUAAGAAACUUCCAAGCGAAUCAUUCCGGCUCGUUCCUGGUGGAAUCAGCUGGGGGCAGCUGAGAUAAAUCGCUCCCACUUCAGCUGUUCUGACGCUUCCAGAGCUGAGCGUGGCUCCCCUUCCAGCCAAACCCCGGUCCCGAAGGAAGACGGAAACCUUCGGGAAGGGAUUCCUGGGGCGGAGAAAGCGGCUCUUUAAUGACCUGAAGGAAACAGCCCCGCUGGAAACAGCCCCCGGACAGGAGUUCAGCCAGGGCUGGGCAAUGGGCUGUGCAUCUCCAUCUGCUGCUGGGACACCGGUGUUUGGAGAACUGCUUAAUCCACGCUGGAAACGGAGAGGAACUUCAUCAAAAGAAGAACUUUCCUUGGCAAAACCGAAGCAGAAAAAAAAAUCAAAAAAUCACCCUCAUAUGUAAGCAUGUGGCAUGGUCUGAUUAAUCAACAAGAGCGGGGUUGCCAUGAUGAUGUAACAGUGACUGCAAUAUUUUGGCUGAAAAGCAUCAAUUAAAAGACUCCGAGAUGAAAAGAAUUCCCAUCCUGCUCCAGGGCUCACAAGCACUAAUCCUGCCAACCAAGGAGUCCAAAAGGAAGAAGGUUUUUAUUUCAUAUCCAGACUCUUAUUCCAUGCAGGUAAAUCCAUAGUAAAUACAUUGCAGUAAAAGACAGUUAAAGUGCCUUUAAAGUCCCUCAAAAGAGUCCAAACUGUGCUGGAAAUUCAAGUAUGUGGAAAAUAGGCCUUUAGUUAUUAGGAGAAUAUUUUUAUUUUUUUUUUUUUUAAAUGUUGAAAAUGGUGGGGGGUGAGGGAGGUGGUCAAGCCCCCAAAUUUUCCUGGGAGCAGAACCAAAUCCCAGG
Long non-coding RNA from Corapipo altera (White-ruffed manakin), 997 nucleotides. RefSeq lists it as uncharacterized. The transcript is spliced from 4 exons. The record is from RefSeq and is a predicted model, not a curated record. Lineage: Eukaryota; Metazoa; Chordata; Aves; Passeriformes; Pipridae.